CCUACGGGGGGCUGCAGUAGGGAAUAUUGGUCAAUGGAGGCAACUCUGAACCAGCCACGCCGCGUGCAGGAUGAAGGCCCUCUGGGUUGUAAACUGCUUUUGUUAGGGAAAAAACCCCUCGAUGCGUUGAGGGUUGAUGGUACCUAAAGAAUAAGGAUCGGCUAACUCCGUGCCAGCAGCCGCGGUAAUACGGAGGAUCCUAGCGUUGUCCGGAUUUAUUGGGUUUAAAGGGUGCGUAGGCGGAAUAUUAAGUCAGGGGUGAAAGCCGGUCGCUU
RNAcentral lists this ribosomal RNA (275 nucleotides) under uncultured bacterium. RNAcentral describes it as "partial 16S ribosomal RNA". It matches the Rfam family "Bacterial small subunit ribosomal RNA", at positions 338 to 610 of the family's 1533-position model. The record is from RNAcentral.